Molecule: unclassified non-coding RNA, 255 nt
Filed under: Eurotiomycetes sp.
Lineage: Eukaryota; Fungi; Ascomycota; Eurotiomycetes
Description: partial contains small subunit ribosomal RNA, internal transcribed spacer 1, and 5.8S ribosomal RNA
Rfam family: Eukaryotic small subunit ribosomal RNA (bases 1-46)
Source: RNAcentral
AAGUCGUAACAAGGUUUCCGUAGGUGAACCUGCGGAAGGAUCAUUACUGAGUUAGGGUCUUCUGGGCCCGAACCUCCAACCCUAUGUUUAACUACUUUGUUGCUUUGGCAGGCCCGUCCUUCGGGGCCGCCGGGGGUGUUCAAUCACCUCUGGUCAGUGCUUGUCAGUAGCCCAUUUUAAAAUCUUUAUAAUAAUGAAGUCUGAAUCUUAAUUAAAAUUUAAUUAAAACUUUCAACAACGGAUCUCUUGGUUCUG